GUAUAAUAAAUUAUCAUGACGAACUUUUAUUAAUAUUAUUAUUGUAUUACUUGAAAACAGAUUGGCAUGAAUUUGGCAUAGAAGAUUAUGAUUUCUACAAGUAUUUUGUAUAUAAGGGUUUUCUAAAUUUAAAAGGGUAAAUUACACAAAUGGUCCUUGUGGUUUGGGUCAGUCUUCAUGUUUGGUCCCUUAUAAUUAUCUUAACUCCGAAAAUCCUUAUAACUUUGUUUUGUUGUAAAUCUGCUCCCACCAAACCUAAAUUGACUAUAUUACCCCUAUGUGUUUAUUUUUAAUUAAUAUGUUUUUUAUUACUUCAAAUGUCAACAAAAGAAAAGAAAUGUGCCUCUCUCUCUCUCUCUCUCCGAUCACAUCUAGUGGCAGAUACAAGUAUUUCACGUCUGAUGACUUCAACAAUCACCAAAAUCAAUCUCUGGAACCCCCAACGAACAAAAUUCCCCUUCUAAAAACCAUCGAUUUUUGAAAACCCCAUAUCCUACCCCAUAACCAUCUUCUUAUGAACCUUCAAGUUUUGUAAACCCGAGAUUCAAAGACCAAACAUAGAUCUUUUCAUCAGUUUCUUUGUUUUCGGUGAAGGUAAACCUCUCUCUCUCUCUCUCUCUCUCUCUCUCUCUCUGUGUUGGAGUAUAGAAGGACCCUAAAAUCCAAUCCACGUUUUUUUCUCUGUAGUUCAUGUUUUGGAGAGGCGGAAUAGAUAAGUGGGUUUUUGAAAAGUCUCUCCUGUUAAAAUUUCUUAGUAAAAAGCUUCUCAUGGAUCUGGAUUUUUUGUAUAUUGAUUAUGGUAUUCUGUAUAUCGAUCUAAUUUCUUUUUGUAUAUUGCAUCUAUUUUUUGUGUAGCAACGACUGUAUCAGGGUUUUAUUUGUAUAUUGUAUUUGGGUUUCUUUUAUUCAUAGUUCUCGUAAGGAGUUGGUGGUUCCGAACUUUAACGGUGGUGUCAGACUUAACCGGUGGUGCCAGAAUCUAGGGGUGUAGGACAUGGUUCUCACUUAUUUUGUAAUUAUUUAAGUUUAUUUUUAAAUUUAAUAAAUCUUAAAACAAAAAAAUAAAAAAAUAAAAAUAAAUAAGGGUAACAUGGUCAUUUUGGGGACUCUAAAUGAAACAGAAACAAAUUUUAGGAAGGUUCCUGGUUAAAAAAAAUUGUUAGGGACCAAUCGAAAACCACAUAAGCCUUUCAUGUAUUUUACCCAAUUAAAAAUAAUGUCUAUUGCAUUUAUGGUUCGUUAAUAUGAUAUUUUUAUGAUAAAAUAUAACAUGAUAGAUGUUUCGGUUAUAUAAGUAUCAAAAAUAGUCCACC
Molecule: long non-coding RNA, 1313 nt
Filed under: Lactuca sativa (garden lettuce)
Lineage: Eukaryota; Viridiplantae; Streptophyta; Magnoliopsida; Asterales; Asteraceae
Description: long non-coding RNA (LSAT_LNC009886)
Source: RNAcentral